CGUACUCACCGCCAAAUUACCGCCAAAACCACAAGACCAGCGGAUCUCCCGCAGAAACGCCGCUGAAGGCUGCCAGUCUGCAGCCCCUCUGGCAUGUGCUUGCUGUGCUGGUACCUGGAGCCGCCCCUGCCAGCAGGAACGGUGGGCAAUCUGCUGACUGACAUCUGACUGCUGCUGAAUGCUUGCAGUUUUCACCCUGGUCUAUAUGCAGCUCAGCUAUAUGCCACUUUGGUCCCUGCUCCAGUGAUUGUAGGAAACUGUACCAUGCCAUUUAGCAAUGGGGAAACUAACAAGGCUGCAAUUCCUUGGACUCUUUGGCAGAGGAUUAACAAGUACCUCCUGGAAACUUUCCAAAGUCUCUCUCUGGAGGAUUCCCUACAGGUCUCAAUGUCCAUUGACACCCUGCUUGGCCAUGCAGAUUAGCUACACAGAAAACACUACCUGCCUGCCACUUUUUGAUUGCCUACCCAAGCCACAGCAACUUACCCGGCAUCUCAUCUGCUUCCUGCUCCCCACUGAGCACUUCUGGAGUGGAGAAAAGUUCCUGGCUGCCUGCCCCACCAGGCGACCCUGCUGGGAACUCCACUUCCUCUUCUAGCUCCACUUCUUCAUCCAGAAUUUCAGCUUGCGGUAACCCCCUCUUUCUGCUGCCUGUGAAGAAUCCAUGGGGCUAUUGGUGAUGGAGUUGGGAUGACCACCGAGGAUAGCAUUCAGCUCCUUAUAGAAGCGGCAGGUCUUAGGUGCACCACCAGAGCAAUGGUUCGCCUCCCUCGAUGCCUUACGGUACACCUGCCUCAGCUCCUUUAUCUUUGCUCUGCACUGCUGCGGGUCCCGAUCAUAGCCCUUUUCGCACGAGCCUUGAGAAAUUUGCCCAUAUAUAUCCUGAUUCCUGCGGGUCACUCACAGCUGCGACUGAACAGACUCUUCUCCCCAUAUACUGAUCAGAUCCAACAACUCAGCGAUGGUCAAAGUGGGAGCGCGUUUGGUGCAACAGCAAGCCAUGCUCACCUGGGAAGCUCCUCUGGGAAGCUAGCAAGCAGGAAAUGAGAUUUAAAAUUCCCGGAGCUUGCAAGGGGGAGGGGUGAGUUGGCUGCAGGGCAGUGGAAUUGAAAACGCUGACCAGAGAAUUGAGAGAAACUUUCUGGAGGCCAAUAAAAAUCGGGAAAAAAAACCUGUGGUGUCUACACUGCAUGUUUGUCAACAAUAAAGGGAGAGGAAAAGACAAAAGUCUCUCACAGGGGUGGAAGUUUUUUGUCGCCAAAACUAGGCAUUCCCCUCCAUCCC
Molecule: long non-coding RNA, 1284 nt
Organism: Gopherus flavomarginatus (Mexican gopher tortoise)
Lineage: Eukaryota; Metazoa; Chordata; Testudines; Testudinidae
Exons: 2
Source: RefSeq, a predicted model, not a curated record